UCAUAUGCUUGUCUCAAAGAUUAAGCCAUGCAUGUCUGAGUACAUGCCGUAUUAAGGCGAAACCGCGAAUGGCUCAUUAAAUCAGUUAUGGUUCCUUAGAUCGUACCUUACUACUUGGAUAACUGUGGUAAUUCUAGAGCUAAUACAUGCAGCAGAGCUCCGACCUUCGGGGACGAGCGCUUUUAUUAGACCAAGAUCAAUCGGGCCUCGCGUCCGUGUAAUGUGGUGAAUCUGUGUAACUUUGAGCUGAUCGCACGGGCUCGUCCCGGCGACGCAUCUUUCAAGUGUCUGCCUUAUCAACUGUCGAUGGUAGGUUAAUUGCCUACCAUGGUCGUAACGGGUAACGGGGAAUCAGGGUUCGAUUCCGGAGAGGGAGCCUGAGAGACGGCUACCACAUCCAAGGAAGGCAGCAGGCGCGCAAAUUACCCACUCCCAGAUCGGGGAGGUAGUGACGAAAAAUAACAAUACGGGACUCUUUUGAGACCCCGUAAUUGGAAUGAGUACACUCUAAAUCCUUUAACGAGUAUCCAUUGGAGGGCAAGUCUGGUGCCAGCAGCUGCGGUAAUUCCAGCUCCAAUAGCGUAUAUUAAAGUUGUUGCAGUUAAAAAGCUCGUAGUUGGAUCUCAGUUCCAGACGGGUGGUCCGCCUACCGGUGGUUACUGCCUGUUCUGAACAGCCAGCCGGUUUCCUUUGAUGAUCUUCACCGGUUGUCUUGGGUGACCGGCACGUUUACUUUGAAAAAAUUAGAGUGCUCAAAGCAGGCGUGACGCCUGAAUAAUGGUGCAUGGAAUAAUAGAAUAGGACCUCGGUUCUGUUUUGUUGGUCUUUGGAAGACGAGGUAAUGAUUAAGAGGGACAGACGGGGGCAUUCGUAUUGCGACGCUAGAGGUGAAAUUCUUGGACCGUCGCAAGACGAACUACUGCGAAAGCAUUUGCCAAGAAUGUUUCCGUUAAUCAAGAACGAAAGUUAGAGGAUCGAAGGCGAUCAGAUACCGCCCUAGUUCUAACCAUAAACGAUGCUAACCAGCGAUCAGGAUGUGUUCCUCAAAUGACACUUCUGGCAGCUCCCGGGAAACCAUAAGACGAGUUCUGGGGGUAGUAUGGUUGCAAAGCUGAAACUUAAAGGAAUUGACGGAAGGGCACCACCAGGAAUGGAGCCUGCGGCUCAAUUUGACUCAACACGGGAAAACUUACCCGGCCCGGACAUAGGAAGGAUUGACAGAUUAAGAGCUCUUUCUUGAUUCUAUGGGUGGUGGUGCAUGGCCGUUCUUAGUUGGUGGAGCGAUUUGUCUGGUCAAUUCCGAUAACGAACGAGACUUUAGCCUACUAAAUAGGCGUUCCGAUCACUGUUGUCGGACGUUCUUCUUAGAGGGACAGGCGGCGUUUAGCCGCACGAGACAGAGCAAUAACAGGUCUGUAAUGCCCCUAGAUGUCCGGGGCCGCACGCGCGCUACACUGAAGGAAUCAGCGUGUGCUUUCCCUGUCCGACAGGACUGGGUAACCCGUUAAACCUCCUUCGUGAUUGGGAUAGGGGCUUGUAAUUCUUCCCCUUGAACGAGGAAUUCCCAGUAAGUGCGAGUCAUCAGCUCGUAUUGAUUACGUCCCUGCCCUUUGUACACACCGCCCGUCGCUACUACCGAUUGAAUGAUUUAGUGAGGUCUUCGGACUGGCGCUCGGAGCGGCCCUAGUGGUCGCGCCGAAGUGCCGGAAAGAUGACCGAACUUGAUUAUUUAGAGGAAGUAAAAGUCGUAACAAGGUUUUC
RNAcentral lists this ribosomal RNA (1761 nucleotides) under Zearchaea sp. CASENT9028248. RNAcentral's name for it is "SSU rRNA". It matches the Rfam family "Eukaryotic small subunit ribosomal RNA". Lineage: Eukaryota; Metazoa; Arthropoda; Arachnida; Araneae; Mecysmaucheniidae. The record is from RNAcentral.